This 371-nucleotide ribosomal RNA is filed under the name uncultured organism. Its description in RNAcentral is "bacterial SSU rRNA". It matches the Rfam family "Bacterial small subunit ribosomal RNA", at positions 526 to 896 of the family's 1533-position model. The record is from RNAcentral.
CGUAGGGUGCGAGCGUUAAUCGGAAUUACUGGGCGUAAAGCGUGCGCAGGCGGUUUUGUAAGCCAGAUGUGAAAUCCCCGGGCUUAACCUGGGAAUGGCAUUUGGGACUGCAAGGCUUGAGUUUGGCAGAGGAGACUGGAAUUCCCGGUGUAGCAGUGAAAUGCGUAGAUAUCGGGAGGAAUACCGAUGGCGAAGGCAGGUCUCUGGGCUAUAACUGACGCUCAUGCACGAAAGCGUGGGGAGCAAACAGGAUUAGAUACCCUGGUAGUCCACGCCCUAAACGAUGUCGACUGGUUGUUGGGGGUUUGACACUCUCAGUAACAAAGCUAACGCGUGAAGUCGACCGCCUGGGGAGUACGGCCGCAAGGUUA